GAGGGUAUAGCUCAGUAGUAGAGUAUAUUCUUGGCAUGCAUGAGGUCCUGGGUUCAAUCUCCACUACCUCCA
Molecule: transfer RNA, 72 nt
Filed under: Camelus bactrianus (Bactrian camel)
Lineage: Eukaryota; Metazoa; Chordata; Mammalia; Artiodactyla; Camelidae
Also listed under: 2 other names
Rfam family: tRNA
About the family: Transfer RNA (tRNA) molecules are approximately 80 nucleotides in length. Their secondary structure includes four short double-helical elements and three loops (D, anti-codon, and T loops).
Source: Rfam by way of RNAcentral